GGCUAUUUGGCGAGGGUCCAUUUAUAUGAUGGGCCACCCGGACCAAAACAGAGAGAUUUCAUCACUUCCUCCUCGCUGCUGCUCAUCUGUACACCUCACACUGACGAUGAUGCCGUGCCUGUUACUGCUCUGCAUGGUGCCCCAUUGCUGGUGGAGCUGACUGGACUAUUGAUUUGGGCUUUCCGGGAAUCCCAGUAAUGACAAAUCCUGUCCUGCCCGGAUGUGAAGCAUGUACUUGCAAGCUACUUGGUGAGGGAUCGCCAUAUCUAGUCCUUCGCUGCCGAACGAUCUCCUGCUUGCACCUUGUUGACCGCGCCAAGACACCUGCUAAUAUUUGGGUGGGCACUGGUCAGCCAGAGAAGGGGCCGUUGCGAGUAGAAUGCCCCGUAAUUGUCGUUAGUCGGCAGCUUCGGACUCCAGUGCCCGGGGUCGGUUGUAGUUGACCCAUUUUACUUUAGUUACCCUAAAAUAUAGUAGCGCCCCCUAGAUUCAGUAUGCCGUCCCUCGCAAGGAGAGCGAAGCCAGGGUGGCCGUUUUGUGUGUGUGUGUGUGUGAGUAUAUAUUACUUUCAAUUUUGUUUGAUUCAUGUUUUAACUUUAAAUGGCCCAGUAAGACAGAAAAGUUUUGAUACUCUUAAUUAUUAAUUUUUACCAAAA
Molecule: unclassified non-coding RNA, 656 nt
Filed under: Penaeus monodon (black tiger shrimp)
Lineage: Eukaryota; Metazoa; Arthropoda; Malacostraca; Decapoda; Penaeidae
Description: uncharacterized LOC119572385, transcript variant X3
Source: RNAcentral